GUCGGGGUAGUAGGACCACGUUGUGGCAAGAGAUUAAGGAAGUAGAACGUUUUGGAACAAACGGCCAUAGACGGUGAAAGCCCGGUACAUGACUCCCUUACGAAGCCUAGUGGAAUCCUGAGUAGCGCGGAGCACGAGAAAUUCUGUGUGAAUCAGCGGGGCCCAUCCCGUAAGGCUAAAUACUCCCGAGAGACCGAUAGCGAACCAGUACUGUGAAGGAAAGGUGAAAAGCACCUCGAACAGAGGAGUGAAAUAGUCCCUGAAACCGUCUGCCUACAAGCGGUCGGAGCAACGUAAGUUGUGACGGCGUGCCUUUUGCAUAAUGAACCUACGAGUUACUUUCUCCGGCAAGGUUAAGGGCUUCAGGCCCGGAGCCGAAGCGAAAGCGAGUCUUAAUAGGGCGUGAUAGUCGGAGUGAGUAGACGCGAAACCAAGUGAUCUACCCUUGGUCAGGAUGAAGGUUGGGUAACACCAACUGGAGGUCCGAAUGGGUAUACGUUGAAAAGUGUUCCAAUGAACUGAGGGUAGGGGUGAAAGGCUAAUCAAACUUGGAGAUAGCUCGUACUCCCCGAAAUGCAUUUAGGUGCAGCCUUUAUUUAGUAUAGCAUGAGGUAGAGCGACUGAUUGGAUGCGAGGGCUUCACCGCCUAUCAAGUCCAGAUAAACUCCGAAUGCGUGCUAUAUAUUGAUAAGGAGUGAGGGCGCGGGUGCUAAGGUCCGCGUCCGAGAGGAGAAGAAUCCAGACCAUCAGCUAAGGUCCCCAAAUAACAGUUAAGUUGAACUAACGAAGUCGGACUGCAGAGACAGCUAGGAUGUUGGCUUGGAAGCAGCCAUUCAUUUAAAGAGUGCGUAACAGCUCACUAGUCGAGGAGUCCGGCGUGGAUAAUACUCGGGCAUAAACUGUUUACCGAAGCUAUGGAUGUGUAAACACAUGGUAGGGGAGCAUUCCAACGGCGUCGAAGGUGAAGGAUGACCUUUGCUGGAGCUUUUGGAAACGCAAAUGUAGGUAUAAGUAACGAUAAAGGAGGUGAGAAACCUCCUCGCCGAAAGACUAAGGUUUCCUGAUCAACGUUAAUCGGAUCAGGGUAAGUCGGGACC
This 1097-nucleotide ribosomal RNA is filed under the name Parabacteroides distasonis. RNAcentral's name for it is "partial 23S ribosomal RNA". It matches the Rfam family "Bacterial large subunit ribosomal RNA", at positions 291 to 1391 of the family's 2925-position model. The record is from RNAcentral. Lineage: Bacteria; Pseudomonadati; Bacteroidota; Bacteroidia; Bacteroidales; Tannerellaceae.